This 515-nucleotide ribosomal RNA is filed under the name uncultured bacterium. RNAcentral's name for it is "bacterial SSU rRNA". It matches the Rfam family "Bacterial small subunit ribosomal RNA", at positions 29 to 519 of the family's 1533-position model. The record is from RNAcentral.
AACGAACGCUGGCGGCGUGCUUAACACAUGCAAGUCGAACGCGAAAGGGACUUCGGUCCCGAGUAGAGUGGCGCACGGGUGAGUAACGCGUAAGUAAUCUACCCCUGUAUUCGGAAUACCCCACCGAAAGGUGAGCUAAUACCGGAUACGUUUAUCUUGAUGCGAAUGAUGAUAAAGAAAGGUGGCCUCUUCUUGAAAGCUACUGUACAGGGACGAGCUUGCGUACCAUUAGCUAGUUGGUAGGGUAAUGGCCUACCAAGGCGACGAUGGUUAGCGGGUCUGAGAGGAUGAUCCGCCACACUGGAACUGGAACACGGACCAGACUCCUACGGGAGGCAGCAGUGAGGAAUAUUGCGCAAUGGGGGAAACCCUGACGCAGCGACGCCGCGUGGAUGAUGAAGGCCCUUGGGUCGUAAAAUCCUGUCAGAUGGAAAGAAAUGCCACAGGGCUAAUAUCUUUGUGGUUUGACGGUACCAUCAAAGGAAGCACCGGCUAACUCCGUGCCAGCAGCCGCA